GUCAAUCUGGGAUUUGGUACAUGCAGUUUUUAUUUUUUUUAAACUUUUCACAUUGAAAAGAAUAAUUUUGAUCCCAUGGAUGGCUAGAUGCUGCAUCCAUAGUGAUGAAUGCGAGAGAGGUGAUGUUUCUCCCGCCCCAUCCCUUAGAUGUUUACCUUAAUAACAAGUGGCCAGAUGACCUAAACCGAUUCAAAUUGCAUUUUGUGUCUUGGCCUUUUUUCCACAUUUAAAACACAGACGUUGUAAAAGUUGAAUCAAUGUUUGGGGUUAAAUAUCUGCAUUCAUAUGUCAAGUCAUUACAAAAGUUCAGAGAGGUGGAUUGUGUGUAAGGUGUGACGCACUACCACCAUGCCACCACCAGUACUACUGUCUGCCACGUCUAAGAUGUCUUCUGGUUCAGUGCACUAUAUGGCCUCCGAGGUGUUUAGAGACGUUGUUGACUCGGUUAAGAGGGUUAGGGUUAGUGCACUAUAUGGCCCCCGAGGUGUUUAGAGACAUUGUUGACUCGGUUAAGAGGGUUAGUGCACUAUAUGGCCUCCGAGGUGUUUAGAGACGUUGUUGACUCGGUUAAGAGGGUUAGUGCACUAUAUGGCCUCCGAGGUGUUUAGAGACGUUGUUGACUCGGUUAAGAGGGUUAGUGCACUAUAUGGCCUCCGAGGUGUUUAGAGACGUUGUUGACUCGGUUAAGAGGGUUAGGGUUAGUGCACUAUAUGGCCUCCGAGGUGUUUAGAGACGUUGUUGACUCGGUUAAGAGGGUUAGGGUUAGUGCACUAUAUGGCCUCCGAGGUGUUUAGAGACGUUGUUGACUCAGUUAAGAGGGUUAGUGCACUAUAUGGCCUCCGAGGUGUUUAGAGACGUUGUUGACUCAGUUAAGAGGGUUAGUGCACUAUAUGGCCCCCGAGGUGUUUAGAGACGUUGUUGACUCAGUUAAGAGGGUUAGGGUUAGUGCACUAUAUGGCCCCCGAGGUGUUUAGAGACGUUGUUGACUCAGUUAAGAGGGUUAGGGUUAGUGCACUAUAUGGCCUCCGAGGUGUUUAGAGACGUUGUUGACUCGGUUAAGAGGGUUAGGGUUAGUGCACUAUAUGGCCUCCGAGGUGUUUAGAGACGUUGUUGACUCGGUUAAGAGGGUUAGGGUUAGUGCAC
Molecule: long non-coding RNA, 1143 nt
Organism: Oncorhynchus tshawytscha (Chinook salmon)
Lineage: Eukaryota; Metazoa; Chordata; Actinopteri; Salmoniformes; Salmonidae
Source: Ensembl